This 104-nucleotide microRNA precursor is filed under the name Marmota monax (woodchuck). The record is from RNAcentral. Lineage: Eukaryota; Metazoa; Chordata; Mammalia; Rodentia; Sciuridae.
AUUAGAAUUAGUUGGGAAUCUUGUUGAAAUGCUGGUUCUGAUCUGUGGGCCUGUGACAGGGCCUGAAACCCUGCAUUUCUAACAAGCUCCCAGGGGAUAUCAAU